UCGUAGAUAUCAAGAUUCGUGGAUAAAAAAGGACUGUGUACCGAUUGGAAUUCUAUACUUCAUUCUUCUUGCUGACCAGUUUUUGUAAAAUUCCCAAAGUAAUGUUCCUGUGCUGCAGCUUUUGAUGAUCUCUGUAUAAGAACCUCAUUCUGUUUAGAAGUCAGUGUCAGAGUAUGAAGAAACUUCUCAGCUAUCUUCGUGGAGGAUUGGACAGAAGUAGAAACUCAGUAUGGGGCAGAAAGGCUUCUAUUGUCUAUGCUCUUGGAACAUGGACACUUUUAGGAUUAUUUUUUGUCCGGUGGAAACAGAAUCAGUUUAAGUUACCUCAAGUAGGGGCAUUGCCAUCUAUGACGGAAGAGGAGAAAGAGAAGCACAUAGCAGAACUAAAAUUAGAACAGAAAAAGAGAAGUGAAGAAAUCUGUAUUCACGUAGCAGAGAAUGUCUAUACACCAUUGGAUUUCAUGUCAUGAUGGUUAUUUCCACCAGUUAGUGUUCAAACAUAAGAAUGCAUGCAUGGGUUGAAAUUUCAUCACUCUGAGGUAUUUUUUUUCUACAAGUCACAAGAGUCAUAUGCACACUCUUUAUUAUUUGCGCUGACAUGCUCAGCUCUAGAAUGCAAACAAGUGUGUAUUUAAUCUCAAUUUUGGAUGCAUUGUAUCAGAUAUGAAGAAUAAGAACAAGACAAGGACUUCAUAGUGCACACAUUCAUGUAUGAGGCAUGUUUUAUAAUCUAUGGCUGCAGUGUUGUGAUGUUAGAAGGUUACCACAUUGCUUCUAGACUGCAGUCCAUAUUACUGGUCCAUGUUCAAAAUAAUAGGGCACAGGUUUUUUAUAUCAGUUACGAUGUCACAGACUUAUUGUGUAUUCAUAAUGUGUAAAUUAUGCACUCGGUUUGUGCCUCUUGCCGGCAUUGUGCUUGUUGCACCAUUAUUGAUACCCUAGACUGUACUGCAUUGCUACUCUAAUCUAUGUCCAUUUCACAUACUUGUUAGUGUAUGCUGGUACAUACACAAUAUCUGUCCUAUCCUAUUCAUAAAUGUAAUUCUUCUUUUCCCUUAAUAACAAAACAAGUUCAUGAAUCUAAUUGUUUCUCCUAAAUCAUGAGAAUUAUUCUGAGGAUUCCUGUAAGGUCAAAGAGAAUGUAUGUAAGUGAAAUCUCAAGUUUAUGAAUGUUUGGUGCUCAUUCAUAAAAGUUUAUAUUGCUGUACAGUACAAUUGAGGAGCAUAGGGUUAAAAACAAGUGGAGCGCCUCUGGCGGUCUCACCUGCAUUACAUGAUUCAAUAUAGCAGCAGUGCUGACUUUGAAAACUACUACAAAGUAAUUAUUCACAAAUGACUGAGAAGGAAUGCAGAAGGGUAAGAUGAAAACAUGUCACUGUGACCUGUACCUUUUGACCUAAAAAUCAAUAGGCUUCCUAGGGUCAAUGCUAGUAUCAUACACAUCAUAUUACAAUGUAUAUUAGUUUAGGUUACUGGUAAGUUAAACUUAAGUUAUUGUGUUUACAAGGAAAAGUUAAUGGACAAACGGACGGAUACCGAGUUUGAUGCCAUAACACAUCCUGCAGGACGGGCGUAUAAAAAUGAGAGGUUGUAAUCAUACCAUGGUCGAGCGAGCAAAACUUCAUGAACAAAGGAGGAAAUUGUAUUGUUUUCUGAUUUUUUUUGCUCCCGAACUGACCCUUGUUAUUUGAAGAAGAAAAAAUGACAGUUGUCUUUUUAUUACAUUAACUUAACUUAGUAUUUUAGACAAUCUCACCCUCGAAGUUGAAAAUGGUAUAAAAAUAAGAGCUAUGUAUACAUUUAGUUUAAAGCAAAAUAUGAAUGGAAGCAGUUUUUAAACAAUUUCUUUAAAUUUUAGGAAUUUUUCAGACUAGAUGUGUUAUUCAAUCUUGCAAAUUGAACAUAUUUCUGUGGUUGCUAGAUUUGAAGUUACCUGUGAAUAUAAUUAACUAAUAGCAGAUAUAUAGUCUUAAAGAGUUGUUUUUCCAAAUAUUUAUGUAAACUUUUGUUAAAAAGUCACAAAAAAAUUUUGAGCAUUAAUCAUGCAUCAAAAUAAAGGCAUGCCAAAUGUGAUCGUGUAGAAACAGAAAAUAGGGAAAGCCCUUGAAUAAACAAAUAAACAUA
Lytechinus variegatus (green sea urchin) is the source of this 2124-nucleotide long non-coding RNA. RefSeq lists it as uncharacterized. The transcript has 3 exons. NCBI's taxonomy places the organism in Eukaryota, Metazoa, Echinodermata, Echinoidea, Temnopleuroida, Toxopneustidae. The record is from RefSeq and is a predicted model, not a curated record.